UCGGGUUGUAAACCUCUUUCAGUAGGGAAGAAGCGAAAGUGACGGUACCUGCAGAAGAAGCGCCGGCUAACUACGUGCCAGCAGCCGCGGUAAUACGUAGGGCGCAAGCGUUAUCCGGAAUUAUUGGGCGUAAAGAGCUCGUAGGCGGUUUGUCGCGUCUGCCGUGAAAGUCCGGGGCUCAACUCCGGAUCUGCGGUGGGUACGGGCAGACUAGAGUGAUGUAGGGGAGACUGGAAUUCCUGGUGUAGCGGUGAAAUGCGCAGAUAUCAGGAGGAACACCGAUGGCGAAGGCAGGUCUCUGGGCAUUAACUGACGCUGAGGAGCGAAAGCAUGGGGAGCGAACAGGAUUAGAUACCCUGGUAGUCCAUGCCGUAAACGUUGGGCACUAGGUGUGGGGGACAUUCCACGUUUUCCGCGCCGUAGCUAACGCAUUAAGUGCCCCGCCUGGGGAGUACGGCCGCAAGGCUAAAACUCAAAGGAAUUGACGGGGGCCCGCACAAGCGGCGGAGCAUGCGGAUUAAUUCGAUGCAACGCGAAGAACCUUACCAAGGCUUGACAUGGACUGGAAAUACCUGGAAACAGGUGCCCCGCUUGCGGCCGGUUCACAGGUGGUGCAUGGUUGUCGUCAGCUCGUGUCGUGAGAUGUUGGGUUAAGUCCCGCAACGAGCGCAACCCUCGUUCUAUGUUGCCAGCGCGUGAUGGCGGGGACUCAUAGGAGACUGCCGGGGUCAACUCGGAGGAAGGUGGGGACGACGUCAAAUCAUCAUGCCCCUUAUGUCUUGGGCUUCACGCAUGCUACAAUGGCCGGUACAAAGGGUUGCGAUACUGUGAGGUGGAGCUAAUCCCAAAAAGCCGGUCUCAGUUCGGAUUGGGGUCUGCAACUCGACCCCAUGAAGUCGGAGUCGCUAGUAAUCGCAGAUCAGCAACGCU
This 930-nucleotide ribosomal RNA is filed under the name Arthrobacter sp. RNAcentral describes it as "bacterial SSU rRNA". It matches the Rfam family "Bacterial small subunit ribosomal RNA", at positions 418 to 1358 of the family's 1533-position model. Lineage: Bacteria; Bacillati; Actinomycetota; Actinomycetes; Micrococcales; Micrococcaceae. The record is from RNAcentral.